UCAUUUUUUAAAACUUUUAUUAUUAGUUUUUAUUACACAAGUAAUACAUGUUCAUUGUAGAAAAAUUAGAAAACACAGAAAAGCAAAAAGAAAAAAUAAUCACCCAUAAUCCCACUACCCAUAACUACUAUUAACAUUUUAGUGUAUGUCCUUCUAGCUUUCUUAUGCAUAUAUAUACAUACAUAGAUAUAUUUAUAUAUAAUUUUCUUUUUUACAAAUAUUGUGUCAUACUAUACAUACUGUUUUAUAACAUGUGUUUUUCAUUUAAUAUAUAUUGUGAACAUCAUUGUUUAUUCCCUGAAAAAUUUUACAGACACUACAUGCUCAUUGUGGAAAAUUAGAAGUUACAGAUAUGCAAAAAGAAAAUAUAAUUGCUCCAAAUCUCACCUCCCAGAGAUAAAUGCUUUUACACUUUGGCAAGUAUCCUUUCAGACUCUUUAAUGCACACAUGCAUACAUAUAUUUUUAAAAAGGGAUCGUACUAUAAAUAUUCCUCUAUAACUUCCUUUUUCAUCUAACAAUAUAGCUUGUACAUUUCAAUAAAUACACAUAUGGUGCUUAUUCUUAACUGGUACACAGUAUUCCAUUGAAAGGAUGUACCAUAUUUAACCAACCCUAUAAAGUAGGCUUAUUUACAUUUUUCUGCUUAUCCAAAUAAUCUGUGAGCAGAAAAACAAA
RNAcentral lists this long non-coding RNA (677 nucleotides) under Homo sapiens (human). Its description in RNAcentral is "HSALNT0088689". The record is from RNAcentral. Lineage: Eukaryota; Metazoa; Chordata; Mammalia; Primates; Hominidae.